Molecule: long non-coding RNA, 2575 nt
Organism: Hippoglossus stenolepis (Pacific halibut)
Lineage: Eukaryota; Metazoa; Chordata; Actinopteri; Pleuronectiformes; Pleuronectidae
Exons: 4
Source: RefSeq, a predicted model, not a curated record
GUAUGUGAUCCACGUCCGCGGGAAAUAAUGGGGAUGAUAAUAAAACGGAGGGAGAACCCGUGCGAGGGAAGCUGAAUGGAUGGAGCCACAGACACGUCACCAGCAGCCGCAGCCAUGAAGAGCGUGCGCUCCAGCCUCCAGCUGCUCAGUCGCUCUCCAUCUCCAGAGCCGCGCGCUUCUCGGCGCUGAGGAGCGGACACACGCGCACCGGCGACUGCGUCAGAACCCAUGUUGCUGCGCCUGCAGCUCGAGAGGAUGGGUAGCCUUAGGGGUUGGCUGUUAUCUUUGGUUAUCUAGCUGUAUGAGUGAUGUACAUUCUUCAUAAAGCUAGAUAACCGAAAGUAACAAGAAUCCCAUUACACUCCUGAAAAAGGCAUCAAGACCCCAUAUACACCUCCCUCAAAAAAAAAUUAUAAAAAAAUACACAAACUGCCACAGGAACAGCAACACGUGAAGAAAAUGGACGACAGUGACAAGGACACGGCAGCAGGAGGUUGCAGCAGGAGGCGACGACCACAAGACCCCUGAAGGAGAGCUGGCAAAAGGAGACUGAAAAACAGAGAAGAAGGAGGAGGAGGGGUUGCUGUUGAUUCUGCCCUCCCUCUCUCCUCGCCCUCCUCUGCAUCGCCUCCUCCCUCCUCCUCCCCCCUUCUUCCUCCUCUGCUCCAUCCUCAGCAGACUGCCCUUUUUUCCUGUACAGCAAGACGCAGCCUGCGCCACCAUCUUAGAGCAACGCUGGCAUGAAAUGGAAGUGGGAAGACCGGCCAGUGCAGGUGAGUGCUGUCGGUGCAGGACGACCGCAGACAGACAGCGGAGGGGCAGCGGGAUUCCUCCUUCAGCCGCCGGUUUCAGCCCGGAGUAAAUACGUGUCCGCGCACGACUCGGCGCAGAUUCCUUGCCGUGACUUUGGAACAUUUCCGCGGCGACACGUCUGUGAUGCUGCUGUGUGAUGCAUUAUUUGACCCAAUAGUCGAGCUGGACUGAUGUUUGUGAGCGUAAACAUGGCGCUGGACUGUGAGGGAGGGAACGAGGUGCAGAGAGAAGAUCGGCGAAGAUGGACGACCUGGUCCACAGCUGUGACUCUUCUGCUUUGGAGGGUGUGGCACUGAAUUUUGUAAUUUCUAUUUUCCUUCAUACACUCAUGCAUUAUUUCACAUGUAAGACGUGAAAUAAUGCAUCUCCACUUACUGCAGGUCACAGUCGACGAGCUGCAGCCCGCGUUGUGUUCGAUUUGUUUUAGUUGCUAGGACUCAAAGACACGUGAAUGUGAGACCCACGGCAGCAGUGAAUAAUACUGCACUGCGAUUGGACAGCUCCGUGUGUCGGCCGACACAAUGGUGAAGGAGUGAGCUGUCGUCUUUAUACUCUAUGCAACUGUUUUAUCCUUUUUGUUCUUUUUUCAUCCUGAAUUCCUGUUUUAUCCUCACUGUUUAGUUGUCGUUGUUUUUGGGCUGUAGUUUGUAGAUGUUCCUUCAGACGUCAGCAGCAGAGAUGGAUUUUGAGGAGCCUACAUUCCCGGAGUUAAUAUACUGACGAGACAGUGAGAGCGUGAGCGUCAGUGUGUGACAGAUGACAGAACGUAGCUCACUUUCAUCACUGCAUGUAUUGAAUCUCAUAUUUGCAGCCUUAACAGACUCGGCAGCUAUAAGCCACAGUCUGAGUGAACGUGGACUCACACAUUUAAUAUUCCUGAUGGCAGGAGUGUAUUUGAUCAGCAGGGAGUAGCUGAGCAGAGCUCGUGGCUCUGUGUGUACAGAACACGCCACACUAUUAAAACCUUCCCAGCAGGCUUUGAGACGCAGCAGCUUGGUUCAUAGCAGUUACCUGCGUCGCUGUAAUGAUACAUCUUUGGGUGAGACACGACAAAUACAUCGGCUUCACACACUGCCUUAAUUUACUGUCCUUAACAUUAACACACACACACACACACACACACACACACACACACACACACACACACACACACACACACACACACACACACACACACACACACACACACACACACCCCAAUGCAAUAAAGCAAGUGCUAUCGCAGCCUAAUUCAUUCUAUAUUAAUUUUCAGGAAGUGGCAAAUUUUUUAUUACGAUUGAUAAUCUAUGCAAAUCUUUUAAAUAUUACUUUAAACAAUCUAUGUCUAUGCAGUGCUUUUGCAAUUGAUUCAAGGGAGACUAUCUUAGUCUAAUUUAGAAAAUGUAUUCUUCUGAUAAUCAUGCACAUCCCAGUGCUCAAGACAAUUACUUAUCUGCCUGGAUAAGCUUGAAAUUAUGUUUUUAAUCUGUAGAAAAAAUAAAAGAGUCACUUGUCUGAUAUCAGUCGAGUGGCAUGAACAUCAUGAAUUGUCGUCUACAAUAAUUAAAUCGGUUGCACUAAAUCUCUUUUUUCUUUAGCUGCAGAUCAGACACACUGUUUGUAUUCAGCCGUGCUCUGUGUGCCGCAGCCUGUUGUUUUCAAUAAGCAGCAAUGUUUGUGUCAUGCAGUCGAAUCGCUGUGGAAAAGUAUUCACCACAUGUGCCUUUCUAUGGAAAACUGUGUUGGAAUAGUAAUAAAGGUUUACAUUGAAAACAGAGGAAAA